CAUCAAAGCACCAGUAUGAAUGAUAUAUUUACAUGUUUUGUGUUGUUAACAAGCAUCAGCCAACUGAAGCAGAUCGCAGAUUACCAGAUAUGAAUAUCACAUAUGUAAUGAUAUAUAAGCAUGCAAAUUCUAUCUGGCAAGAUUUCAUUUGCAUGUCUAAGCAUAAUGUUAAGAAGGGCAGGUCUGAUAAGCAUAAUGUUAAGGACAUUUCUUGUGUAGGGGUGAGAACUCUCACUGAGUCACCUGAGCGUGGGCUUGAAGCAGUCUGUCUUGUGGAGAGAAGGUUUGCUUCCUUUUAUCCUUUUUCCAGACCCUCGACACUAGAUCUGCUCGUCUUAUGCCUUCUUGGGGACAACUUCA
This 360-nucleotide unclassified non-coding RNA is filed under the name Zea mays. RNAcentral's name for it is "misc RNA Zm00001eb153870". The record is from RNAcentral. Lineage: Eukaryota; Viridiplantae; Streptophyta; Magnoliopsida; Poales; Poaceae.